CCUACGGGAGGCAGCAGUGAGGAAUAUUCGUCAAUGAGCGCGAGCCUGAACCAGCCAAGUAGCGUGCAGGAUGACUGCCCUACGGGUUGUAAACUUCGUUUAUAAAGGAAUAAAGUGAGGCACGUGUGCCUUUUUGUAUGUACUUUAUGUAUAAGGAUCGGCUAACUCCGUGCCAGCAGCCGCGGUAAUACGGUGGAUCGGAGCGUUGUCCGGAUUUGUUUGGUUUAAAGGGAGAGGAGAUGGGUUUUUAAGUCAGUUGUGAAAGUCUGGGGCUCAACCGUACAAUCGCAAUUGAUACUGGCAGUCUUGAGUAAAGUUGAGGUAGGCGGAAUUCGUGGUGUAGCGGUGAAAUGCGUAGAUAUCACGAAGAACUCCGAUGGCGAAGGCAGCUUACUAAGUUGCCACUGACAUUGAUGGUCGAAAGUGUGGGGAGCAAACAGGAUUAGAUACCCUGGUAGUC
Molecule: ribosomal RNA, 460 nt
Filed under: uncultured bacterium
Lineage: Bacteria
Description: partial 16S ribosomal RNA
Rfam family: Bacterial small subunit ribosomal RNA
Source: RNAcentral